This 445-nucleotide ribosomal RNA is filed under the name uncultured bacterium. RNAcentral's name for it is "partial 16S ribosomal RNA". It matches the Rfam family "Bacterial small subunit ribosomal RNA", at positions 354 to 796 of the family's 1533-position model. The record is from RNAcentral.
UUGAGAAAUAUUGCGCAAUGGAGGCAACUCUGACGCAGCCAUGCCGCGUGCAGGAAGAAGGCGCUACGCGUUGUAAACUGCUUUUAACCGGGAAGAAACCCCAGGACGUGUCCUGGGUUGACGGUACCGGAGGAAUAAGCACCGGCUAACUUCGUGCCAGCAGCCGCGGUAAUACGAAGGGUGCAAGCGUUAUCCGGAUUCAUUGGGUUUAAAGGGUGCGUAGGCGGAGCGUUAAGUCAGUGGUGAAAUCCUGCAGCUUAACUGUAGACUUGCCAUUGAUACUGGCGCUCUUGAGUGCGCUUGAAGGGGGCGGAAUGUGCCGUGUAGCGGUGAAAUGCUUAGAUAUGGCACAGAACACCAAUUGCGAAGGCAGCUCACUAAGGCGAUACUGACGCUGAGGCACGAAAGCGUGGGGAUCGAACAGGAUUAGAUACCCUUGUAGUCC